This 1321-nucleotide long non-coding RNA is filed under the name Ananas comosus (pineapple). Its description in RNAcentral is "long non-coding RNA (ACOM_LNC031381)". Lineage: Eukaryota; Viridiplantae; Streptophyta; Magnoliopsida; Poales; Bromeliaceae. The record is from RNAcentral.
GAGGGAUUGGGAAUAUGUUGAACAUUAAAUUGUCUAAGUGUCAUCAAGGGGCACUAGGCGUAAUGAAUGUUGAAACUUCACAUUGUGACUUAAACUAGAUCUUCGGGAUGUUAGUGACUAUACCAUGUUAGAGACAUGAGGAUUGGAUACUUAAGAUUUGUACUAUGCUUGCUUGCCAUUUAUGCUCAUUCGCACAUGCUUGUGAGGGUCGCUCCCCACAAGCCGGCACUCCGGAGUUAGCCUACGCGACUUAUAUUCGCUCGUGCGGUAUCGAGAGACCUACGGGGUCGGGAGGGAUAGACUCAUUCCUAGAGUGGGAAUGCUGGAGCUACCACCGACACUUAGGCGGCAUAAGCUGGACUACAAUAAGUGGAUCCUAAAACACAAUUGAACAAUGACAUUGAACCGGGAAUGGAUAAUAACUACUAGAUGGGGUUAGUAAUUGGAUUACUUUGACAUGCUCAUGAUAUAGCAUUGGAACACAUAGUAUACUUGCUUGUUUCAUUCAUUGCAUCGUAGUAUACUCGGUUGCUUGAUAGAGCUUAUUCCUUAUGUGUCGACAUAUUGGACCAUGAUAGUUACUUGUUGUCAUUGGACAUUUGUUCUUGUGAUAGAGUAGAUGUACAUCAUACUUACAUCAUGUUUACUUGAGAUAUAGUAAUUUAGCAUUUCAAUUAUGCUUUCAUAUCGCGGUUAUUAUUAUUCUUAUUAUUGCUUUUGGACUUACCCUUUUCUUUUGGGGCCUAGUGGUGCAUAGAGCUGAGGUCAGUAAUUGCCCACUGGGAACUAUAAAUUAUAGUUCUCACGCCCUCUAUUUUAUAUUUUCUUUCAGAGCCUCCCACGCCGGGAGAGGCUAGGGAUCGAGGAAAGGGCAUGACUUCGAGCUAGCUCUUCAGCGAGUGACGAGUUGCUAGGUGGUCUACCUCUCGAUGUUUUUAUUUUGGAGAGGUUGAGAGCUGUACCAGUGUACUAGAGACCACCCCUUUUGUGUACUAUUUUGGACAGAUAUUGUAUAACUUUAUGUUUCACCUUUAUUGUUAGUGUAUUUCCUUUUACCUUGUUAUAGAUGAUAGAAUUGUACUGCUCUGAUAUCACUAGUUGUUGCUCUUUCCCUUUUGUUAUAUCUCUUGCUUACUUCCGCUGUUAUCCUAGACGCCUUAUAUGUGUAGACAUAUGGCGGGUCAGGGCGCGCUACCGGGAGGGCCUCUGCCGGUCCUGGGGCGUGACAUGGUGAGUUUCACUUAACCCCCCAAACUUCUAAAAUAGACAUCUAAUACCCUAAACUCUAAUAUUUCAUUCGUUUUUCCCCUUCCGUCAGUUU